CAGUAGCCGCGGUAAUACGAAGGGUGCAAGCGUUAAUCGGAAUUACUGGGCGUAAAGCGUGCGUAGGCGGUUUGUUAAGUCAGAUGUGAAAUUCCUGGGCUUAACCUGGGGGCCGCAUUUGAGACGUUAAGACUAGAGUGUGAGAGAGGGUUGUGGAAUUCCCAGUGUAGAGGUGAAAUUCGUAGAUACCGGGAGGAACGCCGAUGGCGAAGGCAGCCACCUGGUCCACUUCUGACGCUGAGGCGCGAAAGCGUGGGGAGCAAACCGGAUUAGAUACCCGCGUAGUCCCUGUCUCUUAUAU
This 301-nucleotide ribosomal RNA is filed under the name uncultured bacterium. RNAcentral describes it as "partial 16S ribosomal RNA". It matches the Rfam family "Bacterial small subunit ribosomal RNA", at positions 509 to 809 of the family's 1533-position model. The record is from RNAcentral.